This 1409-nucleotide long non-coding RNA is filed under the name Hordeum vulgare. Its description in RNAcentral is "long non-coding RNA (HVUL_LNC006283)". The record is from RNAcentral. Lineage: Eukaryota; Viridiplantae; Streptophyta; Magnoliopsida; Poales; Poaceae.
UCCUUGUUCAUAAUAAUCGUUUAUUAUCCAUGCUAGAAUCGUAUUGAUCGGAAACUCAAAUACAUGUGUGGAUACAUAGACAACAACCGGGGUAAGAAAUCGGGACAACAUAGGUCUUCGUGCGUUUAGGAAAUUUUUUGUUUCCCAUGCGACGUUCCCCAAUACGACCCUCCCGGACUCCUAGAGAUUUCUUCAAGACAAAUGGAACUUGAUUCUAUAAUUGGUUGUCUUCCUAGCUUGUCAUGGCAAACAACCGGGGUAAGAAAUCGGAGUGUCCGUGGCAAUGCAUUUCUCAUGACCCAAACCACAAUAUGGGGGCAUCGUUGACCAUGUUGGAGGCGUUAGCGAGUUUGCUGCCUCAACGGCUCAACCCUGCACGUCCUCCACCUUUCCAGCUUCCGUCCUAGAUCGAUGACAUUGGACGAUGUCGGAUCCUUUGCGUUGUAUUUCCACCUCAUAGGCUGGUUUAUUUAGCGGGGGCAUCAUCAAGAGGGACUUGUGGAAGAUGGCGGUUGUGGUGUUGGGAUUUAUUUAGCAAUGAUGGCAGGGUGAGUGAUGGGAGGCUGAUGGCCGUGGUUGCGGUAGUUGACUCUUUCGAGUGUACACGGGAUCGUUUCAGGUUGUUUGUUGUGGAUAAGUUGGACCUGAGAUGGAGGCCGAGAGGCAGCAAGAAAAAUUUCACGGUGCGCCGUUGAUAGAAGCAAGAAGAACAAAACGUUGGUACUCCAAGUAAUUUAGAUGUAUUUUGCUAUUUCUUUAAGGUCGUUUUUAUAAGUGAAUGAGUUUCCAUGAUAUAUGGCCUUUGCCCUAUCCACACACAAAGUACGAAUUUGUAGAGCCAAGAGGUGAAAAAGUAGGCAAGAGAUGAUAUGUGGGACAUGAUGUUUUUGCACCCCAGCUCAUAUGAGCUCGGAUGAACAGUAAAUUCAAAAAAUAUUAAAAAAAAUGUUCAAACAAAUCUGAAUUUAUUUUUGGGCAAACUUUGAUAAAUGUUCUAAGUGCUCGUUAAAUUUCAUCAUGGAAUCACAUUUUUAGAAGUCGUGGUAAAAAAACAAAAUCAAAACUCUGAAAAUGCUACUUUCAAAAGCAUUUUGGAGCACUAGUUUUGUUUUUCUGCCGCGACUUCAAAAAAUAUGAUUUCGUACUGAAAUUUUGCAAGCUAUUAAAACAUUUAUCAAAGUUUGCUAUAAAAAAAUUCAGAUUUUUUUAAACAGUUUAAAAAUAUUUUACGAAUUUACUUUUCACCCAAGCUCAUUUGAGCUCGGGUGUAGAAGAGCACUUUCCUGAUAUGUGGCACUUCCUUCAUAUAUACUUACAUGGUCUACGAGAUAUCGAUUGCGGCAAGUUAUGCCGGUGGGUGUUGCGGCAGGUAGCAUCCCCGGGACUGUUUAAGUUUGGGGCAAUAAUGC